UCAUGACCUCCAGAUUUAAGACAUUCUUCAAGACAAUUUUGAGUAUGAUCCAAGAGAAAAUGUGAUUUGAGUCUGGAGACAAUUGUGAAUAUCAGCUAAUGGUAAAAGCCCAGUGUAUCUGACUGAAAAGAAAACAUUAUUUGGAAGAUUGCUGUAAUAAAAAGAGAAGUUUCUUUUAGUUUGAUUCAUAUAUAUAGCAUAUUUCAUUUCGGCUUUAAUGAUGGAGAAAAAAAAAUGUUUCCUGUCUUUUCUGUUCCUCUUGCCUUUUUUCAUGGUAAGCAUAAAUUUCUCUAAUGUAUCCCCCUACCUAUGAUUGUUUCUGUUUUAGCUUUUAAUAUACCCAUCAUUGAUAAAGGUUAAUAACACAAAAUUACAUAAUAUAGUUAUUUGAUGCAUAAAUAAGUGCACCUUUAUAUCUAAUCAACACAGCAAUAAUUCAUUUUCUUUCAGUGUACCUUUUUAGGCUUUUGGUCCUGUAACAGUCACCCUAGUAUUAUGUUGCAUUGGGAAGGGUGGUAUCAAAGCAAGGAAGUAUGAUAGAUAUAAAAGUGCAGACACCAGGGGAAAGUAAUUACCAGAGUUUUAAAAAAAAAAAAUGGAAUGGCUAUAUAGCACAGUCAUACAUAAUAGAUGAAAUAUUUUCAAUCAGACCUGCUGAUUCUGAGUUAGCUAUGUUAAAAAAGCAAUUCCAGCCUGUUGAUUUUCUUCCCAUUCUGCCGACUGAUUGACUUGUAUUGACUGAAAGGCAUUUUGGAAACAAUCACUAUGUUUUAAAUUAAUUUCCUCAUCCAUUUCAUUCAAAUAAGUAUUAAAUGUCCGUUUUCUGACAGGCGUUGAUGCUAAGUUUGGGGCAGAUGUGUAUGUGAGUAUGUGCACUCCUGCAUGCCUCUGCCUGUAUAUGCAGGGGAGGUGGGGCUGGAAGCGGAGGGUAGACAAGAUGACUAAAACGCGAUUGCCGUACUAGAGGGGCUGUAUGCUUUAUAUACUUAAUGUUACUUUUGUUUACAGAAAUAUUUUGUUCCCAUUUUUCUCCCUUAUUAAAGCAGUGACUGCACUCUUACUACAACAACAAAUACUCUUAUCAUAUGUAUGAGAAACUGAGAGACAUAAUCUCAUCUAACUCUGUGCCAGCAAAUAAUUCUCCUGUGGUGUUUCCAAGUAAACCCCAGGAAGAGCCAAGCAAAGAGACUCAAGAAAAAUAUAGAAAACUUAAAUGGGAAAAAAGCACGACUGCAUUCCUGUUAGCAUUUGUAUUUAAAAACAUUCUCAAGUAUAGGAGCAGUCCAGAUUCUACACUUUUCAGAUGUUAUCUUAGGUAAACAGACUAGAAUUCAAGAAACAGGACUCCUGUUUCUUAGGCUCCCACCCUCAACUGAGCCUGCCAAUGAUCUGCACUGGCCAAAGCUGGUUCCCUGCAGGUAAUUCUGUAACAGAUUACCAACCCGAUUACUGUAAUUUAAGGAAUUGUGACCGUUUCUCUUGAAUUCAUUCAGACAACAUGCAUAUCUGACUUUUAAAGUAAGAAUAAAAAUGAUAUUGGUUUUAUGCAAUUCUAAAAACUGAGAACAGGAGAAAAGUAUUUUUCCUUGAUGCUGUAAAUUUCCAUUUUUAACUCGUGCAGCACAACAACUGCAUAAAUCUUUGUUAAGAAAUUAAAAACAAUCUAAGAAUGAAAAAGUUAAUGUUGAAUGGUGGUGAGGUGAUGGGAAAGCUAGAGUGGUGUCACACACUGAGGGACUAUUACUAUUUAUUUUACAUUUAAAUUAACUCCAACUUACUGCUAGAGAACAGUAGUAAGAAAAUUAAGAAUAAAGAAGCAACGUAAGAAUAGAAAGAUAACUGUUUAUGGAAAAUAGAUAGGAAUAAUGCAAAAAAGAAGAAGAAAUAAAGUUGAAGAGAAGUUUAUAUAGGCUUCAUGCUAUGAAACAAGGAAAAAAAGUCAUGUAGAAAUUAAAGUGUAAGUGAAACUUAAAAUAAUGCUGCUAAAGUGGAAGAAUAUAAAUAUAGACCUUGUCCAAAACAUUUAUUGAUGUGCAUACAAUUAAAAUUCUAUUAACCAACAGUAUAAAUGAACUACUUGUCAUUAUUUUAUCAAAAUGUAAAUAUAAAAAUGGCAACAGUUUUGAGCAUUUACCAUGUGCCAGAUACUUCCCCUUCAUUAUCUUGAUACUAUUUUAACCCAUUUUACAAUAAGAAAGCAGAGGUUUUGGUGGGGCUGUGUGGUGGGGUGGAGAUUAAAUAUCUUUUCUACAUUGUCAGGUUAAAAAGUAGAGGUGGAAUUUGAAUACAGCUGUCUGCAUUCCAGAAAGCUGGCCUGGAGCUGGCCCCCACAGGCUUUGAGGGGGAACUAUGGACUGUACUUCCCAGUGCUGCCACUGGCAACUCUUGGUGGUGGU
Odocoileus virginianus texanus is the source of this 2396-nucleotide non-coding RNA. The record is from RefSeq and is a predicted model, not a curated record. Lineage: Eukaryota; Metazoa; Chordata; Mammalia; Artiodactyla; Cervidae.